GCGACCGGCGCAGGGUGCGUAACGCGUGAGCAACAUGCCCGUAUCAGGGGAUAAUCCAGGAAACUUGGUCUAAUACCGCAUAGGAAUCGUAAUUGGCAUCAAUUAAGAUUUAAAAAUACGUUGGAUACGGAUUGGCUCGCGUGACAUUAGCUAGAUGGGGAGGUAACGGCUCACCAUGGCGACGAUGUCUAGGGGUUCUGAGAGGAAGGUCCCCCACACUGGUACUGAGACACGGACCAGACUCCUACGGGAGGCAGCAGUGAGGAAUAUUGGACAAUGGAUGGAAAUCUGAUCCAGCCAUGCCGCGUGCAGGAAGACGGGCCUAUGGGUUGUAAACUGCUUUUGUAUGGGAGCAAUAAGGGUUACGUGUAACCUGAUGAGAGUACCAUACGAAUAAGCAUCGGAUAACUCCGUGCCAGCAAGCCGCGGUAAUACGGAGGAUGCGAGCGUUAUCCGGAUUUAUAGGGUUUAAAGGGUGCGUAAUGCGGGANAUAAGUACAGAUGGUGAAAUAUUACGGUCAAACGGGAGACUGCCAUAAGAAACUGUGAUGCUCAUAAUAUGGUUGACUGCUGAGAGAUNGGGAAAAAUAGCUAGUUGGG
Molecule: ribosomal RNA, 600 nt
Filed under: uncultured bacterium
Lineage: Bacteria
Description: bacterial SSU rRNA
Rfam family: Bacterial small subunit ribosomal RNA
Source: RNAcentral